AUUAGCUGGAGCAAAAAGCAUGGAGGAUUAGAACAAGUUUGGGAGAGCAGAGCUGCAGGAGUCUCCGGUCGUAAGCUGAGGGAUAAGAGAAACACAAAACCGCUUGUAUGCCUUAUGAACUGCGGAAUUGGCCAGGUUCGAUGGCGAGCUGAAGAAUCAGGUCCAAGAGCCUAAAGGAUUUCACCUGUGGUGUUAAGAUUUGGUUUCCCCACCAGGCUGGUGGGAGGCUUCCUGCAGCCCAUGAACAAAAUUGUUUCCACUCUGACUUUUGUCAGCAUAUGAACUGUAACAGGCGCUCUAAACUCACCUGACCCUGUUGAACCGCCUCAGUUCAGUUUUCAGGAGUUUUAUGAACUGAAUGGUGUGGCUUGUUACUGGAACUGUGGAACUGAUUUGGUUUUUUUUUAUUUGUUAAUUUAAUUUGUUUUCUUUGUGUAUUAUUUCCUUUUAUUUUAA
Xiphophorus couchianus (Monterrey platyfish) is the source of this 456-nucleotide long non-coding RNA. RefSeq lists it as uncharacterized. The transcript is spliced from 3 exons. The record is from RefSeq and is a predicted model, not a curated record. NCBI's taxonomy places the organism in Eukaryota, Metazoa, Chordata, Actinopteri, Cyprinodontiformes, Poeciliidae.